RNAcentral lists this small nucleolar RNA (147 nucleotides) under Ictidomys tridecemlineatus (thirteen-lined ground squirrel). RNAcentral's name for it is "Spermophilus tridecemlineatus (thirteen-lined ground squirrel) Small nucleolar RNA SNORA79". It matches the Rfam family "Small nucleolar RNA SNORA79". From Rfam's summary of the family: ACA65 (SNORA79) is a member of the H/ACA class of snoRNAs that guide the sites of modification of uridines to pseudouridines. The record is from Rfam by way of RNAcentral. Lineage: Eukaryota; Metazoa; Chordata; Mammalia; Rodentia; Sciuridae.
UGAUGACUGUUCCUCCUAUUGCUUAUAGGCUGGGCACUAGGAUUUUAUGUCAUCAUAAAAUUAAUUUGAUUUUCUUCACUCAGAGAAUAUUAGGAUAAUGGGAUUUAUUAUCUGUCUAUUCUCUGAAAUUUGCGGGAUCUAACACUU